GUAGUUAGCCGGGGCUUCCUCCUUGGCUACCGUCACUUUCUUCGUCACCAAGGACAGAGGUUUACAAUCCGAAAACAUUCAUCCCUCACGCGGCGUUGCUGGGUCAGGCUUUCGCCCAUUGCCCAAUAUUCCCCACUGCUGCCUCCCGUAGGAGUCUGGACCGUGUCUCAGUUCCAGUGUGGCCGAUCACCCUCUCAGGUCGGCUACCCAUCGUCGCCUUGGUGGGCCUUUACCUCACCAACUAGCUAAUGGGACGCGAACUCACCCUUGCGUGGAUUGCUCCUUUUACCUCAGAGCCAUGUGACUCCGUGGUCUUAUGCGGUAUUAGCAACUGUUUCCAGUUGGUAUCCCCCUCGCAAGGACAGAUUGUUCACGCGUUACUCACCCGUCCGCCGCUCGAACAAGGAACCGAAGCCCCUUGUCCUCGCUCGACUUGCAUGUGUUAGGCACGCCGCCACGCGUUCGUCCUCGAGCCACGAAUACAACUACUGA
RNAcentral lists this ribosomal RNA (492 nucleotides) under uncultured bacterium. RNAcentral's name for it is "partial 16S ribosomal RNA". The record is from RNAcentral.